UACGUAGGGUGCGAGCGUUGUCCGGAAUUACUGGGCGUAAAGAGCUCGUAGGUGGUUUGUCGCGUUGUCCGUGAAAACUCACAACUCAAUUGUGGGCGUGCGGGCGAUACGGGCAGACUGGAGUACUGCAGGGGAGACUGGAAUUCCUGGUGUAGCGGUAGAAUGCGUAGAGAUCCGGAAGAACACCGGUGGCGAAGGCGGUGAGCUGGGCAGUAGCUGACACUGAGGCGCGACAGCGUGGGGAGCAAACAGG
RNAcentral lists this ribosomal RNA (253 nucleotides) under uncultured bacterium. Its description in RNAcentral is "partial 16S ribosomal RNA". It matches the Rfam family "Bacterial small subunit ribosomal RNA", at positions 524 to 776 of the family's 1533-position model. The record is from RNAcentral.